Molecule: ribosomal RNA, 370 nt
Filed under: uncultured organism
Description: bacterial SSU rRNA
Rfam family: Bacterial small subunit ribosomal RNA
Source: RNAcentral
CGUAGGGUGCAGGCGUUAAUCGGAAUUACUGGGCGUAAAGCGUGCGCAGGCGGUUUUUUAAGUCAGAUGUGAAAUCCCCGGGCUUAACCUGGGAACUGCGUUUGAAACUGGAAAGCUUGAGUGCGGCAGAGGGGGGUGGAAUUCCACGUGUAGCAGUGAAAUGCGUAGAGAUGUGGAGGAACACCGAUGGCGAAGGCAGCCCCCUGGGUCGACACUGACGCUCAUGCACGAAAGCGUGGGGAGCAAACAGGAUUAGAUACCCUGGUAGUCCACGCCCUAAACUAUGUCAACUGGUUGUCGGGGAAGCAAUUCCUUGGUAACGAAGCUAACGCGUGAAGUUGACCGCCUGGGGAGUACGGCCGCAAGGUUA